AACCUCUGUCUUGUUCACAUAAAU
Molecule: non-coding RNA, 24 nt
Filed under: Arabidopsis thaliana (thale cress)
Lineage: Eukaryota; Viridiplantae; Streptophyta; Magnoliopsida; Brassicales; Brassicaceae
Source: RNAcentral